GAGUUUGAUCGUGGCUCAGGACGAACGCUGGCGGCGUGCCUAAUACAUGCAAGUCGAGCGGAUCUUCAUUAGCUUGCUUUUGAAGAUCAGCGGCGGACGGGUGAGUAACACGUGGGCAACCUGCCUGUAAGACUGGGAUAACUUCGGGAAACCGGAGCUAAUACCGGAUAAUCCUUUUCCUCUCAUGAGGAAAAGCUGAAAGACGGUUUCGGCUGUCACUUACAGAUGGGCCCGCGGCGCAUUAGCUAGUUGGUGAGGUAACGGCUCACCAAGGCGACGAUGCGUAGCCGACCUGAGAGGGUGAUCGGCCACACUGGGACUGAGACACGGCCCAGACUCCUACGGGAGGCAGCAGUAGGGAAUCUUCCGCAAUGGACGAAAGUCUGACGGAGCAACGCCGCGUGAGCGAUGAAGGCCUGGUCGUAAG
Molecule: ribosomal RNA, 427 nt
Filed under: uncultured microorganism
Description: bacterial SSU rRNA
Rfam family: Bacterial small subunit ribosomal RNA
Source: RNAcentral